CGACAGCCCACAGUCCUUCGGGUCACUGCCACAUUGCACCGUCGUGUAAUACUCAGCCAUAGGACAUGACCCCGUUCGUUUGAGUCUUCCCGAUCCAGCGAAUAAGGGGUUUCCUUGAACCCGCCGGGUACAAGGUCUGAAGGAACACUAACUCACCCCAAUAUGCCUAGCAUUGUGGGUUACACAAAUGCUGUCGGCCAAUAUACGAUUAAUACUAAACCCGGUAAAAAUAACACAAGGUUCCUAGUAUUAAUCACCACACAAUCAACACAUUCCACCUCAAACAUGCCUAGCAUUGUGGGUUACACAAAUGCUACAUGGCCAAAAUAUGAUUAAUACUAAACCCGGUAAAAAUAACACAAGGUUCCUAAUAUUAAUCACAAAUUAACACAAUCAAUCAUAUUCCAGAAUCUAGCAUAAAGAUUAAUUCCAGAAUACCUAACUAUCCACAACUUAGCGAUAUCAUCUAACCAAUCAAUCUAACCAUUAGCAUGCUACUACGACUCUCAAACAAUAACAAGCAUGCCAUCAACUCAAUCAACAUAACCUCAAUUAUUCAAACCGUUACUCAGUUAGACCCGGCCACCGGCCAUGAUCCAACUUCCAAGUAACGGGACCCU
This 620-nucleotide long non-coding RNA is filed under the name Brassica napus (rape). RNAcentral's name for it is "long non-coding RNA (BNAP_LNC020254)". The record is from RNAcentral. Lineage: Eukaryota; Viridiplantae; Streptophyta; Magnoliopsida; Brassicales; Brassicaceae.